RNAcentral lists this ribosomal RNA (253 nucleotides) under uncultured bacterium. RNAcentral's name for it is "partial 16S ribosomal RNA". It matches the Rfam family "Bacterial small subunit ribosomal RNA", at positions 524 to 776 of the family's 1533-position model. The record is from RNAcentral.
UACAGAGACUGCAAGCGUUAUUCGGAUUCACUGGGCGUAAAGGGUGCGCAGGCGGCCAAGUGUGUUAGGCGUGAAAGCCUGAGGCUUAACCUCAGAAUUGCACCUAAAACUACAUGGCUAGAGCAUUGGAGAGGGUAGCGGAAUUCACGGUGUAGCAGUGAAAUGCGUAGAUAUCGUGAGGAACACCAGAGGCGAAGGCGGCUCCCUGGACAAUUGCUGACGCUCAGGCACGAAAGCGUGGGGAGCAAAAGGG